GAGAGAGGCCCGCCACAGUGAAAACUGCUAAUUUUCACCCCUUUGGUUAAAUUCCAGAGCUCACUCA
RNAcentral lists this transfer RNA (67 nucleotides) under Pelagocephalus marki (rippled blaasop). Its description in RNAcentral is "tRNA-Ser(AGY)". The record is from RNAcentral. Lineage: Eukaryota; Metazoa; Chordata; Actinopteri; Tetraodontiformes; Tetraodontidae.